GGAGAAAUAGCUCAGUGGUUAAGAGUGCUGGCUGCUCUUCUAGAGGAACUGGGUUUGAUUCCCAGUUCCCACA
This 73-nucleotide transfer RNA is filed under the name Neotoma lepida (desert woodrat). It matches the Rfam family "tRNA". Rfam says of the family: Transfer RNA (tRNA) molecules are approximately 80 nucleotides in length. Their secondary structure includes four short double-helical elements and three loops (D, anti-codon, and T loops). The record is from Rfam by way of RNAcentral. Lineage: Eukaryota; Metazoa; Chordata; Mammalia; Rodentia; Cricetidae.